GGGGAAAAUUAAAAAUUUAAAUUUAAUAAAAAAAAUUUUAAUAUUAAAAAGAAAAAAUGGGGGUUUAAGUAUUUUUAAUAGAAAAAAUUAAUAUUUUUAUAGUUAAAUAUUACUGUAAAGGAAUUUUUAAAUAAAUGAAAUAAAAUUAAUAAAAAAGUAAAUUUAAUUUGUUGUAUCUUGUGUAUCAGAGUUUAUUAAAAAAUAAUAAUUUAUUUAAAUAAAUCUCGAAUUUAAAAGAGUUAAUUAAUUAAAAAAGUUAAUGUUGUAUAAUUAUUUUUAAUAAUUAAUUGGAAAUGAAAUGUUAAUCGUUUUUAAAUAUAUCUAGUUUUUUCAGAAAAAAAUUUAAUUUUAAAUUUAAAUAAUUUUAUAAUUUUUUGAUUAAUUAUAAAAAUUUAAAUUUUAAUAUUUUAGGGGAUAAGCUUUAAAUUAAAAAUUUAUAAUUAAAAAAUAUAAAAAUUAAAAUUUUUAAAAUUUAUAUUAUUUAAAAAUUAUAGUUUAUUAUAAAAAAUUUUGUUUAUAUAUAAAAUUUAAAAUAGAAAAUUUAAAUUUUUAUGAAAAAAUAAUUUAUAAUUUAAUAAAAUUAGAAAUAAUGAUAAAAUUAGUAUAAUAAAAUAAAUUAAAUGAAAUUUAUAAAUAAGUAAUUUAAAGGAAUUCGGCAAAAAUUUAUAUUCACUUGUUUAUCAAAAACAUGUCUUUUUGAUAAUAAUUUAAAGUCUAAUCUGCCCACUGAUAUAAUUAUUAAAGGGCUGCAGUAUAUUGACUGUACAAAGGUAGCAUAAUCAUUAGUCUUUUAAUUGAAGACUUGUAUGAAAGAUUUGAUGAAAUAUAGACUGUCUCUGAAUUAUUAUUAGAAAUUAAUUUUUUAGUUAAAAAGCUAAAAUAAAAUUAAAAGACGAGAAGACCCUAUAGAGUUUUAUAUUUUAUUUAUUUAGUAUUAAAUAUAUAAUUAAAUUAUAUUAACUAAAUAAAAUAUUGUAUUGGGGUGAUAAAAAAAUUUAAUAAACUUUUUUUAAAAAUAUAACAUAAAUAAGUGAUUAAUUGAUCCAUUAAUAAUGAUUAAAAGAAAAAAUUACCUUAGGGAUAACAGCGUAAUAUUUUUUUUUAGUACAAAUAAAAAAUAAAGUUUGCGACCUCGAUGUUGGAUUAAGAUAAAAUUUAAAUGCAAAAGUUUAAAAUUUUGAUCUGUUCGAUCAUUAAAAUCUUACAUGAUCUGAGUUCAAACCGGUGUAAGCCAGGUUGGUUUCUAUCUUUAAUAAAAAAAAAUAUUUUAGUACGAAAGGAUCAAAUAUUUAAAAUAAUUUUAUAAAGGAAAAAUGAAUAUUAUUAAUAU
This 1330-nucleotide ribosomal RNA is filed under the name Protogoniomorpha temora. RNAcentral's name for it is "16S ribosomal RNA". Lineage: Eukaryota; Metazoa; Arthropoda; Insecta; Lepidoptera; Nymphalidae. The record is from RNAcentral.